AUGCACGCUGGCGGCGUGCCUCAUACAUGCAAGUCGAGCGAACGGACGAGAAGCUUGCUUCUCUGAUGUUAGCGGCGGACGGGUGAGUAACACGUGGAUAACCUACCUAUAAGACUGGGAUAACUUCGGGAAACCGGAGCUAAUACCGGAUGAUAUUUUGAACCGCAUGGUUCAAAAGUGAAAGACGGUCUUGCUGUCACUUAUAGAUGGAUCCGCGCUGCAUUAGCUAGUUGGUAAGGUAACGGCUUACCAAGGCAACGAUGCAUAGCCGACCUGAGAGGGUGAUCGGCCACACUGGAACUGAGACACGGUCCAGACUCCUACGGGAGGCAGCAGUAGGGAAUCUUCCGCAAUGGGCGAAAGCCUGACGGAGCAACGCCGCGUGAGUGAUGAAGGUCUUCGGAUCGUAAAACUCUGUUAUUAGGGAAGAACAUAUGUGUAAGUAACUGUGCACAUCUUGACGGUACCUAAUCAGAAAGCCACGGCUAACUACGUG
RNAcentral lists this ribosomal RNA (496 nucleotides) under uncultured bacterium. RNAcentral's name for it is "partial 16S ribosomal RNA". It matches the Rfam family "Bacterial small subunit ribosomal RNA", at positions 29 to 507 of the family's 1533-position model. The record is from RNAcentral.